This 576-nucleotide ribosomal RNA is filed under the name uncultured bacterium. RNAcentral describes it as "partial 16S ribosomal RNA". It matches the Rfam family "Bacterial small subunit ribosomal RNA", at positions 355 to 922 of the family's 1533-position model. The record is from RNAcentral.
UGGGGAAUAUUGCACAAUGGGCGCAAGCCUGAUGCAGCCAUGCCGCGUGUGUGAAGAAGGCCUUCGGGUUGUAAAGCACUUUCAGCGAGGAGGAAGGUGGUGAGCUUAAUACGCUCAUCAAUUGACGUUACUCGCAGAAGAAGCACCGGCUAACUCCGUGCCAGCAGCCGCGGUAAUACGGAGGGUGCAAGCGUUAAUCGGAAUUACUGGGCGUAAAGCGCACGCAGGCGGUUUGUUAAGUCAGAUGUGAAAUCCCCGGGCUCAACCUGGGAACUGCAUUUGAAACUGGCAAGCUAGAGUCUCGUAGAGGGGGUAGAAUUCCAGGUGUAGCGGUGAAAUGCGUAGAGAUCUGGAGGAAUACCGGUGGCGAAGGCGGCCCCCUGGACGAAGACUGACGCUCAGGUGCGAAAGCGUGGGGCAGCAAACAGGAUUAGAUACCCUGGUAGUCCACGCUGUAAACGAUGUCGAUUUUGGAGGUUGUGCCCUUGAGGCGUGGCUUCCGGAGCUAACGCGUUAAAUCGACCACCUGGGGAGUACGGCCGCAAGGUUAAAACUCAAAUGAAUUGACGGGGUCAU